GCGCCCGUAGCUCAGCUGGAUAGAGCGCUGCCCUCCGGAGGCAGAGGCCACAGGUUCGAAUCCUGUCGGGCGCGCCA
Molecule: transfer RNA, 77 nt
Filed under: Aeromonadaceae bacterium
Lineage: Bacteria; Pseudomonadati; Pseudomonadota; Gammaproteobacteria; Aeromonadales; Aeromonadaceae
Also listed under: 3 other names
Description: tRNA-Arg
Rfam family: tRNA
About the family: Transfer RNA (tRNA) molecules are approximately 80 nucleotides in length. Their secondary structure includes four short double-helical elements and three loops (D, anti-codon, and T loops). Further hydrogen bonds mediate the characteristic L-shaped molecular structure. tRNAs have two regions of fundamental functional importance: the anti-codon, which is responsible for specific mRNA codon recognition, and the 3' end, to which the tRNAs corresponding amino acid is attached (by aminoacyl-tRNA synthetases). tRNAs cope with the degeneracy of the genetic code in two manners: having more than one tRNA (with a specific anti-codon) for a particular amino acid; and 'wobble' base-pairing, i.e. permitting non-standard base-pairing at the 3rd anti-codon position.
Source: RNAcentral